Molecule: long non-coding RNA, 955 nt
Organism: Heterocephalus glaber (naked mole-rat)
Lineage: Eukaryota; Metazoa; Chordata; Mammalia; Rodentia; Bathyergidae
Source: Ensembl
GGACAGGAUGGGGAGACCAGGGUUCUGCCAGGGCCGGGAGCGCCUCCAGCCAGCAGCGCCGGGCUUCCAGGUUGCUCCUCUCAGCUUCAACGUGGACAUUUCUGAGGGAGGCAGAACUGGCUGGUCACCCCAGGGGAGUGGAGUCAGAUUAGCCAAGGUGACCCCUGACUCUCUGACUCAUGUUUUAGGCCGGGCUAAUCCCAGCGAGGCCACGGGAGCAGGAAGCCCAUUCUCCGAUGCCCUGGCACACCGUCCCUUUCCAUGACUCCCAAGUCCUUGGUGGGGGCGGAAGGAGACUCAUUGGCCCCAUUCCCGGCAGGCUUCCUGGCAGGUUCCACAGGCCAGACGCUGGGUCAAAUCCAGCCUCUGCCUUCUCCCAACUGUGCCACCUGGGCAGGUUACCCAACCCGCUCAGCCUCAGUUUCCUCCUCUGUAAACAGGGCUAGUGAAUGUCAGCUGUCGACGACAGGACCAGGCAGGGUGUCCAGCCACUGCCAAAUGCCUGGGGCCUGGGCGAGGUCACGCUCCGCCAAGUUCUGCUGAAUGAGUAAAUGUACCCCAAGUACCCCGGAAGCCAGAGCCUCCAUUCCCUUGCUUGUAAAGGUCCUUCCUCAGGGGCUUUUCAGGGGCAGGUGGGAGCAGACCCGAGCUCCCCAGAAGAGAAGACAUUGCUGAGGGACCGUUCAUGGGCACCCAGCUGGCUGCGGGCCCCCGAGCUUCUCAGUUAGUGCAGCCCUGCCCCGGGGAGCCAGCCCAGGGGGCUCUCAGCGGCCUUUACAUCAAAUUAUUCCUCCACGUUCCGGAGAGCAGGAAUUAUUGGCAGAAAAUGAGGAUAUAAACCCCGCUGGAGCCUGGCACCUUCUCGGGGCAUUCAGCACCAAGCCCUUGGAAGCCUUCCAGCAGAUUGCUUCAUUUUUAAUGGUCUGGGACUGUAGUUCAUCUGUUUAAUUCAAAA